CCCUGAGUACAUGAUGUAGAUUGGUGGAAGAAUGGUCUGCCAACUUCUUCUUCUCAAGCUCCUCUUUCAGAUCACUGAUAGCCAACCUAGCACUGCCAAGCUGACUAAUAGCCUCCUCCUUGUUAGACACCAUUUUUGCAAAAUCAAGUUUGAAAAUUCGAAGCUCUUCCUCCAUCCUCCUCUUUUCUCCCACUAUUUUGAAAUUUUCUUCACCCAGCUUCAGAUUAUCUCUGAUUUUGUCC
RNAcentral lists this long non-coding RNA (242 nucleotides) under Hordeum vulgare. RNAcentral's name for it is "long non-coding RNA (HVUL_LNC014678)". Lineage: Eukaryota; Viridiplantae; Streptophyta; Magnoliopsida; Poales; Poaceae. The record is from RNAcentral.